Molecule: signal recognition particle RNA, 97 nt
Filed under: Alphaproteobacteria bacterium
Lineage: Bacteria; Pseudomonadati; Pseudomonadota; Alphaproteobacteria
Description: signal recognition particle sRNA small type
Rfam family: Bacterial small signal recognition particle RNA
About the family: The signal recognition particle (SRP) is a universally conserved ribonucleoprotein involved in the co-translational targeting of proteins to membranes. Archaeal SRP consists of a 7S RNA and homologues of the eukaryotic SRP19 and SRP54 proteins.
Source: RNAcentral
UAUGGGCUAUCGUUGGGUAGCGUGUUUGGCGAAUCAGGUCAGGUCUGGAAGGAAGCAGCCUUUGUUUAAACACCUAGGUCAGCGGUCGCCCUGUUCA